This 360-nucleotide ribosomal RNA is filed under the name Triticum aestivum (bread wheat). RNAcentral describes it as "partial small subunit ribosomal RNA". Lineage: Eukaryota; Viridiplantae; Streptophyta; Magnoliopsida; Poales; Poaceae. The record is from RNAcentral.
AUGGCGGAGGCGAUCGACCUGUACCGGCACUCGGCGAUCGGCGUGGCCCUCAUCGAGACGCUGAACGAGAUGGUGGCCAGCGGCGCGCUCAGCCCCGAGCUCGCCAUGGCCGUGAUCAUGCAGUUCGACAAGUCCAUGUGCCACGCGCUGGACAAGCAUGUCGAGAGCAGGGCCACCUUCAAGGGCGGCAAUCUGCGCACAUACAGGUUCUGCGACAGCAUCUGGACUCUCAACCUGAGAAACACAACAUUCAUGAACGAGGAGAUCGAAACAGUCCUCCCCAAGGUGAAGAUCGUGGCCUAUGAUAUGAGACUGAUUGAGGAGCCUGUAGUACCUAUCACUUGCCAGCAGUGCCAGUAG